GGCGAACAGGGCGGAGGCAGCCGGGGGAAGACGGGGGUGGGAAGGUUGAUCCGGAGUUACUGGGUGUAAAGGGGGCGUGUGUGUGUUGGUAAGUCAGUGGUGAAAUCCCCGAGCUUAACUUGGGAACUGCCAUUGAUACUAUCAGUCUUGAAUAUUGUGGAGGUCAGCGGAAUAUGUCAUGUAGCGGUGAAAUGCUUAGAUAUGACAUAGAACACCAAUUGCGAAGGCAGCUGGCUACGCAUAUAUUGACACUGAGGCACGAAAGCGUGGGGAUCAAACAGGAUUAGAUACCUGGUAGUC
This 300-nucleotide ribosomal RNA is filed under the name uncultured Caryophanon sp. RNAcentral describes it as "bacterial SSU rRNA". It matches the Rfam family "Bacterial small subunit ribosomal RNA", at positions 495 to 795 of the family's 1533-position model. Lineage: Bacteria; Bacillati; Bacillota; Bacilli; Caryophanales; Caryophanaceae. The record is from RNAcentral.